Molecule: non-coding RNA, 348 nt
Organism: Pelodiscus sinensis (Chinese soft-shelled turtle)
Lineage: Eukaryota; Metazoa; Chordata; Testudines; Trionychidae
Source: RefSeq, a predicted model, not a curated record
AGUCCAGAUAUUGUCCUGCAAGUGACUCUUCAGGAACACAGUCAAAGCAGAGCCUCAAGUCAGUGUGGAGGAAGCUGGUCAUGCUCUUGCCAUGUUUUGCGGUGAAUUAGAUGGGAGAGGGGAAGUGAGGAGCCAGACUUUGGUCAGUCUGGACCGAUGCUCUGAUGUUGACAAGAGGAGACCAGGGUCCUGUAUUUAUAGGAGCUUCCCUCUCAACUUGCUAAGCCCUUUCAAAUGUAUAAAAAAGGAAAAUUGAUUUCCAUUUGCUGUCUAACGGAAUCACACCAGGAAACAAUUCUGAACAUCUGUAGAAUAAACUAAUCAAUAAAGUAUCUUCACUGAAAGCCA